Molecule: ribosomal RNA, 439 nt
Filed under: uncultured bacterium
Lineage: Bacteria
Description: partial 16S ribosomal RNA
Rfam family: Bacterial small subunit ribosomal RNA
Source: RNAcentral
CUACGGGAUGCUGCAGUGAGGAAUAUUGCACAAUGGGGGGAACCCUGAUGCAGCAACGCCGCGUGGAGGAUGACGCAUUUCGGUGUGUAAACUCCUUUUAUAUGUCAAGAAAAUGACGGUAGCAUAUGAAUAAGCACCGGCUAACUCCGUGCCAGCAGCCGCGGUAAUACGGAGGGUGCAAGCGUUACUCGGAAUCACUGGGCGUAAAGGACGCGUAGGCGGGCUAGUAAGUCAGGUGUGAAAUCCUACAGCUUAACUGUAGAACUGCACUUGAAACUACGAGCCUAGAGUAUGGGAGGGGGAGAUGGAAUUAGUGGUGCAGGGGUAAAAUCCGUAGAUAUCACUAGGAAUACCUAAAGCGAAGGCGAUCUCCUGGAACAUAACUGACGCUAAGGCGUGAAAGCGUGGGGAGCAAACAGGAUUAGAUACCCUAGUAGUC